AAGAAAACAAAUUAGAUCAACGUCAGUAUAUAUUAAGGGAAAUUUGCAGAAAUAACUAGCAAAAAAACUAUAAUUUACUAACUAACCAUCCUAACUAUGUAACUAUAAUAUUUUCUGUAUAAUAUGUAAUAUUACUAAAUUUGCCAUUGUUGCCUCAAUACUUUCAGCAGCCACCACCACCGCCGGCCACCAUCUAUUCCGGCCACCACCAACACUGAUCACCAUCAACUCCGGCCAGCACCAACUUCAGCCACCACCACCACCGACCACCACCACCGCCACCAUCAUCA
Molecule: small RNA, 290 nt
Filed under: Arabidopsis thaliana (thale cress)
Lineage: Eukaryota; Viridiplantae; Streptophyta; Magnoliopsida; Brassicales; Brassicaceae
Description: ATSL283730
Source: RNAcentral